UGCUGUUUUGCUUUCCCUUUCCAGUCUUCGCCUAUUCAUAUAUGGACAGCUAACAUUUUGUGGUUUUGGGAUUAAAUAAAAAGGAACAGCUAGAGCUUUGUUGUUCGCAUUGUGACUAGUUUAAAGUUAAAGUUGAGGAAUGGCCGAAAAAUCGUGUGUCAAGCGUCUUCAGAAGGAAUAUAGAGCACUAUGUAAAGAGCCGGUUUCCCAUGUCGUUGCCUGCCCUUCCCCUAGUGAUAUCCUUGAGUGGCAUUAUGUAUUGGAGGGAAGUGAAGGAACAGCUUUUGCAGGUGGAUAUUACUACGGAAAGAUCAAGUUUCCUCCUGAGUAUCCCUAUAAACCUCCUGGAAUCACCAUGAUUACUCCUAAUGGACGCUUUGCAACUCAAAAGAAAAUCUGCUUGUCUAUGAGCGAUUUUCAUCCCGAAAGUUGGAAUCCAAUGUGGUCUGUAUCAAGCAUACUUACAGGGCUUCUUUCCUUCAUGAUGGACAAUAGUCCCACCACAGGCAGUGUGAACACUACUGAUGCUGAGAAAGCACAUCUAGCAAAGAAUUCUCUAGCUUUCAAUUGUAAGAACCCAACAUUUAGGAAGUUGUUUCCAGAGUAUGUGGAGAAGUUUAACCAGCAGCAGCAUUCUGAGCAGAUUAUUUCAGAGCGGGUGCCACAGGAGGAGAAAUCCAGACCUAGUAUGGAAAAACUUGAUAAUUCAUUAGAAGAUCUGAAUAGAAUAGAUACACUGAAGGACACAAGAAGAAACGCAAAGCACACAUUCCCAACCUGGGUGAUGUUGUUGCUGGUGUCCAUCUUUGGCAUCGUAAUGGCAUUGCCUUUGCUUCAACUCUGAUCUCUAGACUGCAGAAGUGCAAAUUUUAGAACGGUUAGCAGACAUGCAAGCUUUUGCUAGGUGAAGAACAAUUCUUAUAAUGCUCCUCAGUUAUGCCCUAUAUUCGACAGAACUUGUAUAGAGGUUGAUCCUGAAAGACUCACUUGGGUCUUUUUAUGUUAUCAUUGGGAGUUUGGUAGUUAAUUCCAAAGAGAUACAUGCUUGUGGCCUUAUUUU
Molecule: unclassified non-coding RNA, 1060 nt
Filed under: Hevea brasiliensis (rubber tree)
Lineage: Eukaryota; Viridiplantae; Streptophyta; Magnoliopsida; Malpighiales; Euphorbiaceae
Source: RNAcentral